UACGGAUGGUGCAAGCGUUGCUCGGAAUCACUGGGCGUAAAGCGAACGCAGGCGGACUUUUAAGUCGGGUGUGAAAGCCCCGGGCUCAACCCGGGAACUGCACUCGAAACUGGAAGUCUUGAGUUCGAGAGAGGGUGGUGGAAUUCCUGGUGUAGAGGUGAAAUUCGUUGAUAUCAGGAGGAACAUCGGCGGCGAAGGCGGCCACCUGGCUCGAUACUGACGCUCAUGUUCGAAAGCGUGGGGAGCAAACAGG
Molecule: ribosomal RNA, 253 nt
Filed under: uncultured bacterium
Lineage: Bacteria
Description: partial 16S ribosomal RNA
Rfam family: Bacterial small subunit ribosomal RNA
Source: RNAcentral